Small RNA from Pasteurella multocida subsp. multocida str. Pm70, 99 nucleotides. It matches the Rfam family "Aggregatibacter sRNA 22". NCBI's taxonomy places the organism in Bacteria, Pseudomonadati, Pseudomonadota, Gammaproteobacteria, Pasteurellales, Pasteurellaceae. The record is from Rfam.
GUGCGGUGACAAAAACUUUAGUUUUUGAACAUUGGCUUUGCCAACGGUGGCGAAGCCAUAGUAAUCGUUAAGAACGAUUACGUAUAAUUUUUUUAUAGU